GGGGGCGUCCGGUCUCGACGGGGCAGUCAGGGUUUCGGGAUAGCGAGCCGAAGGCGUGUGCGUUACAGCGCAAGGCACACAAAUGCCAACACCAACAAUCGGACUCUCGCUCUCGCCGCCUAGGUAGCGAAAGCAUGAGUCCCCGGGCCUAGCGCCCGGGCGCCGCCCCCGGCUCCGCCGGCGAGCCGGGGAGGCGGUGUCACAAAAAACCCGGCUCGCCGGACCGAGGGCGCCGCGGCCUCGGUCCGGGACACUCACCGCGGCUGGCCAUCGGGGAUCCCGCUGGGAGGAGCCCCGUGGUGAGAGCAAAAUCCCCGAUACGCUCGUAGAGGUCCCGGGGCACUCUGUUUCGGACGCGGGUUCAACUCCCGCCGCCUCCACCA
RNAcentral lists this transfer-messenger RNA (383 nucleotides) under Chloroflexota bacterium. Its description in RNAcentral is "Chloroflexi bacterium transfer-messenger RNA". It matches the Rfam family "transfer-messenger RNA". From Rfam's summary of the family: Bacterial tmRNA, also known as 10Sa RNA or SsrA, is named for its dual tRNA and mRNA-like properties. The record is from RNAcentral. RNAcentral also lists the same sequence under 1 other name. Lineage: Bacteria; Bacillati; Chloroflexota.